RNAcentral lists this transfer-messenger RNA (347 nucleotides) under Lachnospiraceae bacterium oral taxon 500. It matches the Rfam family "transfer-messenger RNA". Rfam says of the family: Bacterial tmRNA, also known as 10Sa RNA or SsrA, is named for its dual tRNA and mRNA-like properties. Its role is to liberate the mRNA from a stalled ribosome. RNAcentral also lists the same sequence under 1 other name. The record is from RNAcentral. Lineage: Bacteria; Bacillati; Bacillota; Clostridia; Lachnospirales; Lachnospiraceae.
GGGGGUGUCUUGGAUUCGACAGGGUUUUUGCAGUUAAAGAAGCCAUUCGUAGUUCGGGGCUACGUUAAAACUCGAAACUUAAAAUUAAACGCUGAAGAUAAUUUAGCAUUUGCAGCCUAAUUAGGCGGCUGUCCGUCCUGUUCGCUCACUGACAGGGGCACGGGCAUCAGAUUGGUGAGGCACUUCGCAUCGAAAGCUUUGACGAUGAGGAAGAAAUAUGAAGCUACUAAAACCGGCAGUCUGUCUUUGGACGGUCGGCAGAGGGAAUGAAAAAGCAAAGACUGUAAUGGGAGACGCUUUAAUGAAUAGGAUUUUGGACAGGGGUUCGAUUCCCCUCACCUCCAUUC